Molecule: ribosomal RNA, 497 nt
Filed under: uncultured bacterium
Lineage: Bacteria
Description: partial 16S ribosomal RNA
Rfam family: Bacterial small subunit ribosomal RNA
Source: RNAcentral
GAUGAACGCUGGCGGCGUGCCUAAUACAUGCAAGUCGAGCGAACAGAUGAGGAGCUUGCUCCUCUGACGUUAGCGGCGGACGGGUGAGUAACACGUGGAUAACCUACCUAUAAGACUGGGAUAACUUCGGGAAACCGGAGCUAAUACCGGAUAAUAUAUUGAACCGCAUGGUUCAAUAGUGAAAGACGGUUUUGCUGUCACUUAUAGAUGGAUCCGCGCCGCAUUAGCUAGUUGGUAAGGUAACGGCUUACCAAGGCAACGGUGCGUAGCCGACCUGAGAGGGUGAUCGGCCACACUGGAACUGAGACACGGUCCAGACUCCUACGGGAGGCAGCAGUAGGGAAUCUUCCGCAAUGGGCGAAAGCCUGACGGAGCAACGCCGCGUGAGUGAGGAAGGUCUUCGGAUCGUAAAACUCUGUUAUUAGGGAAGAACAAAUGUGUAAGUAACUAUGCACGUCUUGACGGUACCUAAUCAGAAAGCCACGGCUAACUACGUG